RNAcentral lists this ribosomal RNA (253 nucleotides) under uncultured bacterium. RNAcentral describes it as "partial 16S ribosomal RNA". It matches the Rfam family "Bacterial small subunit ribosomal RNA", at positions 524 to 776 of the family's 1533-position model. The record is from RNAcentral.
GACGUAGGGCGCGAGCGUUGUCCGGAUUUAUUGGGCGUAAAGAGCUCGUAGGCGGCUUGUCGCGUCGACUGUGAAAACCCAUGGCUCAACCAUGGGCUUGCAGUCGAUACGGGUGGGCUAGAGUUCGGUAGGGGAGACUGGAAUUCCUGGUGUAGCGGUGGAAUGCGCAGAUAUCAGGAGGAACACCGGUGGCGAAGGCGGGUCUCUGGGCCGAUACUGACGCUGAGGAGCGAAAGCGUGGGGAGCGAACAGG